Molecule: ribosomal RNA, 497 nt
Filed under: uncultured bacterium
Lineage: Bacteria
Description: partial 16S ribosomal RNA
Rfam family: Bacterial small subunit ribosomal RNA
Source: RNAcentral
GAUGAACGCUGGCGGCGUGCCUAAUACAUGCAAGUCGAGCGAACAGACGAGGAGCUUGCUCCUCUGACGUUAGCGGCGGACGGGUGAGUAACACGUGGAUAACCUACCUAUAAGACUGGGAUAACUUCGGGAAACCGGAGCUAAUACCGGAUAAUAUAUUGAACCGCAUGGUUCAAUAGUGAAAGACGGUUUUGCUGUCACUUAUAGAUGGAUCCGCGCCGCAUUAGCUAGUUGUUAAGGUAACGGCUUACCAAGGCAACGAUGCGUAGCCGACCUGAGAGGGUGAUCGCCCACACUGGAACUGAGACACGGUCCAGACUCCUACGGGAGGCAGCAGUAGGGAAUCUUCCGCAAUGGGCGAAAGCCUGACGGAGCAACGCCGCGUGAGUGAUGAAGGUCUUCGGAUCGUAAAACUCUGUUAUUAGGGAAGAACAAAUGUGUAAGUAACUAUGCACGUCUUGACGGUACCUAAUCAGAAAGCCACGGCUAACUACGUG